This 1377-nucleotide ribosomal RNA is filed under the name Salmonella enterica subsp. enterica serovar Tchad. Its description in RNAcentral is "partial 23S ribosomal RNA". It matches the Rfam family "Bacterial large subunit ribosomal RNA", at positions 1 to 1269 of the family's 2925-position model. Lineage: Bacteria; Pseudomonadati; Pseudomonadota; Gammaproteobacteria; Enterobacterales; Enterobacteriaceae. The record is from RNAcentral.
GGGUUGUGAGGUUAAGCGACUAAGCGUACACGGUGGAUGCCCUGGCAGUCAGAGGCGAUGAAGGGCGUGCUAAUCUGCGAUAAGCGCCGGUAAGGUGAUAUGAACCGUUAUAACCGGCGAUACCCGAAUGGGGAAACCCAGUGUGACUCGUCACACUAUCAUUAACUGAAUCCAUAGGUUAAUGAGGCGAACCGGGGGAACUGAAACAUCUAAGUACCCCGAGGAAAAGAAAUCAACCGAGAUUCCCCCAGUAGCGGCGAGCGAACGGGGAGGAGCCCAGAGCCUGAAUCAGCAUGUGUGUUAGUGGAAGCGUCUGGAAAGGCGCGCGAUACAGGGUGACAGCCCCGUACACAAAAGCGCAUGUGCUGUGAGCUCGAUGAGUAGGGCGGGACACGUGGUAUCCUGUCUGAAUAUGGGGGGACCAUCCUCCAAGGCUAAAUACUCCUGACUGACCGAUAGUGAACCAGUACCGUGAGGGAAAGGCGAAAAGAACCCCGGCGAGGGGAGUGAAAAAGAACCUGAAACCGUGUACGUACAAGCAGUGGGAGCCCCACCACCAAAGCAUUUGCUGUACCGCGUUGACGGAGCGAAGCGACGUCAAACCGAUAAAACAGCAGUGUAAAGUGAGCCGCAGGGCGCUUUGCGCGACAGCGCAAAGGCAGGCGGUUUCGCGCAGCGAAAGCGAAUGCUUUGGGGUGGGGUGACUGCGUACCUUUUGUAUAAUGGGUCAGCGACUUAUAUUCUGUAGCAAGGUUAACCGAAUAGGGGAGCCGGAGGGAAACCGAGUCUUAAUUGGGCGUUAAGUUGCAGGGUAUAGACCCGAAACCCGGUGAUCUAGCCAUGGGCAGGUUGAAGGUUGGGUAACACUAACUGGAGGACCGAACCGACUAAUGUUGAAAAAUUAGCGGAUGACCUGUGGCUGGGGGUGAAAGGCCAAUCAAACCGGGAGAUAGCUGGUUCUCCCCGAAAGCUAUUUAGGUAGCGCCUCGUGAAUUCAUCUCCGGGGGUAGAGCACUGUUUCGGCUAGGGGGCCAUCCCGGCUUACCAACCCGAUGCAAACUGCGAAUACCGGAGAAUGUUAUCACGGGAGACACACGGCGGGUGCUAACGUCCGUCGUGAAGAGGGAAACAACCCAGACCGCCAGCUAAGGUCCCAAAGUCAUGGUUAAGUGGGAAACGAUGUGGGAAGGCCCAGACAGCCAGGAUGUUGGCUUAGAAGCAGCCAUCAUUUAAAGAAAGCGUAAUAGCUCACUGGUCGAGUCGGCCUGCGCGGAAGAUGUAACGGGGCUAAACCAUGCACCGAAGCUGCGGCAGCGACACUCAGGUGUUGUUGGGUAGGGGAGCGUUCUGUAAGCCUGUGAAGGUGUGUCGUGAGGC